UCCCUGGGGGUCCAGUGGUUAAGACUCUGUGAUUCCAACGCAGGGGGUACAGGUUCAAUUUCUGGUCGGGGAA
RNAcentral lists this transfer RNA (73 nucleotides) under Capra hircus (goat). It matches the Rfam family "tRNA". Rfam says of the family: Transfer RNA (tRNA) molecules are approximately 80 nucleotides in length. The record is from Rfam by way of RNAcentral. Lineage: Eukaryota; Metazoa; Chordata; Mammalia; Artiodactyla; Bovidae. RNAcentral also lists the same sequence under 1 other name.